GAUGAACGCUGGCGGCGUGCCUUACACAUGCAAGUCGAACGGCAGCACGGGGCAACCUGGUGGCGAGUGGCGAACGGGUGAGUAAUGCAUCGGAACGUACCUUUCAGUGGGGGAUAACGUAGCGAAAGUUACGCUAAUACCGCAUAUUCUGUGAGCAGGAAAGCAGGGGAUCGCAAGACCUUGCGCUGAUUGAGCGGCCGAUGUCAGAUUAGCUAGUUGGUGAGGUAAAGGCUCACCAAGGCGACGAUCUGUAGCGGGUCUGAGAGGAUGAUCCGCCACACUGGAACUGGGACACGGUCCAGACUCCUACGGGAGGCAGCAGUGGGGAAUUUUGGACAAUGGGGGCAACCCUGAUCCAGCCAUGCCGCGUGAGUGAAGAAGGCCUUCGGGUUGUAAAGCUCUUUCGGCCGGGAAGAAAUCGCACGGGCUAAUACCCUGUGUGGAUGACGGUACCGGAAUAAGAAGCACCGGCUAACUACGUGCCAGCCGCCGCCGUAA
This 498-nucleotide ribosomal RNA is filed under the name uncultured bacterium. RNAcentral describes it as "partial 16S ribosomal RNA". It matches the Rfam family "Bacterial small subunit ribosomal RNA", at positions 28 to 523 of the family's 1533-position model. The record is from RNAcentral.